Long non-coding RNA from Tupaia belangeri chinensis (Chinese tree shrew), 932 nucleotides. RefSeq lists it as uncharacterized. The transcript has 3 exons. NCBI's taxonomy places the organism in Eukaryota, Metazoa, Chordata, Mammalia, Scandentia, Tupaiidae. The record is from RefSeq and is a predicted model, not a curated record.
CUCCGGGCCGUGCGAGUCUCGGCCGGCCGGGUCAGCAGAGCUGUGGGCAGCAGGAAGGCCGGCCUGUGUGGGGAUGGCCACCAAGCCCGCUCCGGAGCCGGAGUCUCGCGGAAAUGACGCCUGAUGGGGAGGUAACUACAGAGAAAUGCUGGUUCCACGCUCCGGGUCUGAGUACUGUCGGAGCCCCAGAGACAGGUGAACAGCCAGACGAGAAACAUGAGUAGAGGAGUAACCUCACACAGAGUGGGACUGACUGAGAAGGAUAGAGACCGUGAAGGGUCCGGGACUUGACGACCAGAGCCACCGUGAGGACAGCCAGACACAUCGGAACCCUGGCACGUUUCAGCCGCUGCACCUGACCUCACGGAGUACCUUCUAGGAGGUAACUACUGGUGUGUCCAGGCCUGUGUCACUUCACUGAAGGCUCAUCACGAAGAAAAGCCCUUGAAGAAACCUGAGGCUGAUCACAGAGCUAUGGUACGACCCAGCAAUUCCGCUCCUAGCGUGACCCACAAGAAUUAAAAAGGGGUGUCUGAUCGAAAAAAGUGUCCACAACUGUGCAAAGCAGCACUGUUCGCAACAGCCAGAAGGCGGAAACAGCAGCAGGACCCGUCAGCCAGUGAGAGGGUGAAGAAAACGUGAAACCCACCCAGCCGACCGUCAGUCAGCCGUGAAGAGGGUGCACGGGCCUGCCCCAGCGCGGAGGGCCGGAACGCGAUGCCAAGGGGAGCAGUAGAGCCAGAGCACAGACGGCUUCAGGAAGUGGAAUGGCAGCCCCCUGGGGCUGGAGCAGGGGCCGGUGGGGAACAAUGGCCCCAGUGCCUGGGGGUUUCUUCUGGAUGGUGGGAAAGCUCUGGAACGACAGUGGUGAGGCCGCACACAUUGCCACUGUCCUUAAUGGCAUGAAACUGGACACUUGAAAGUGACUACAA